RNAcentral lists this ribosomal RNA (253 nucleotides) under uncultured bacterium. Its description in RNAcentral is "partial 16S ribosomal RNA". It matches the Rfam family "Bacterial small subunit ribosomal RNA", at positions 524 to 776 of the family's 1533-position model. The record is from RNAcentral.
UACAGAGGUCCCAAGCGUUGUUCGGAUUCACUGGGCGUAAAGCGUGUGUAGGCGGAUCGUUAAGUGUCUUGUGAAAUCCCACGGCUCACCCGUGGAACUGCUGGGCAUACUGGCGAUCUUGGGCCAACUAGGGGCAACUGGAACAAGCGGUGGAGCGGUGAAAUGCGUAGAUAUCGCUUGGAACGCCAAAGGUGAAAACAGGUUGCUGGGGUUGUGCCGACGCUGAGACACGAAAGCCAGGGGAGCAAACGGG